CCGGGCCCGCUGGUCGGUGGCACAUUGGAUUCACACACUCGCCCGCCUGCUACGUCGCCGACGCCGCCGGCCAUUUUUUUCAGAUUAAAAUGGAUACAUAGAUAGUUCUAGCGUACACAGAUAAAAGAAAAAGACCACUACUCGUCGCUUUCUGACUCCGACUCGUUAAUGUCCUCCUCUGACGUUUGAAGGUAGGCGUCAGCAAGCUGCUCGUCUUCAAAGUCUCAACCCGAAGUUUCUCUUAGCUUCAGUUUCAAUUGAGUUGCCUGCUUCCGCGAACGCUUGUCCUCCCGAUAGGCGACUCGCUCCCUCCUCUUCUCCUCCCUCUCCGAUCUCAAUUGCUUGUAGAACUGGCGCUCGUCGACGAAGUCCUGCGGGUAGCCUCCGCGCCACACCACCAAGGCUUACACGUCCUUCUCUGCGAUGGCGAGGCGACGCUGCCGCCUCUGGUGGACACGACAAUCCUUGUCGGUGAAAAGCCGCGGGAGAGGCGCCAGAUCCUGCGCCCGCUGGCUCGACACGUUGGGAAAAUUCAUAUCCCGACGAGGCCUCAAGAGGCGCCACGCCGCCUCGUCGUGCGCGUGGGCCGCCUCCUCUGCGGUGUCGAAGGUGCCGAGGACGAGACGUUUCUCGUGAAACCACAUCUUGGCGGAGAAGGCACCGGAGCGGCGCUCGCGAACUCCGCGAAAAUCCGAAGCGCCCAGGCGGCGGAUCGAUAUGGUGGCGCAGAGGCGGAGAGAGUGGGCGGCCGACAAAGUGUGGAGGGAGCACCUUCUUUAUAGCAAGCGCCGGCCGCGGCGCGCGCGCGAACCUUUCCCGCGCGCUGGAGUGCCAAAACCAGGGCGACGGCACGAUGUUAAACACGUGCGGUCAUGAAAAUGGGUCGGCCUGUUGGCGCACUGCCGAUCCAAAACUAAAAGAGGCGGACGGCGGGCGGGUGGCCGAUCCAAAACUAAAAGAGGGCGGACGGCGGGUGGGUGGCCGACCCAAACGGAUAAAAAGCGGACAAAAACGCCGUCCGUUUGAGUCGGCCCGUUGGAGUUGCUUUUAGUACUUUUUUUUUGCGAGAUGACGGUGGUAAUUAGUACAACGUAGUACAUGUCAUGUCCAAGGCCACCGAGUAUGAAAGGGAUAGUAUUGUCGUUGCAGCGAGGUGUUCCUGUCUACGGCACAUGGGUCGUAAAGGUGAGAAAAUUCUUCGUCAUCCUCCUCCGCUCUAUGAAAGGGAUAGUAUAUUGGAGUGUUGCAUGUAGCGACAUGAGCUAGUGCUGAGUUGUGACCAGGCCUUGGUGGUCUAUAGGCGCGGCCGCGGGCAGUCCUCGACGGCAAGUGGCUCCUUGCUAUCUUGCGGAUUGGCGUCGUCUGGCGGGUCACGUACGGUUCUCCGGACACUGGCCUAUGCGUGUACUGACGAAUAGGCGGGUAGAUCUGAAAUUUCCACCAGGCUAUAAUUAAGAUUUUUUAUGUAAAACAUGAUAGCCAUGCAUGUCCUCAAGGUUGAAUGCAAGCAAUUGAAAAUUCGAUGGUAGCGAGAUAUUGGUAUCCUGGACAAAGUCUUCCAUUUUAUCCGGUAAACAUCAACCAAUAUGCACAGAAACACAAGGAAAUAUUUAUUUAUGCGAAAAUGAUCAAGACCUCUUAUCAAGGUUCAUCAAAAGUACAAACCGUCUUAAACAUAAAAAAAUUGCAUCCAGAUUCAGAGACCAUCGAACGACCACUACCGCCGCCAGAAUGAGCCGCCAAUGCGCCGCUGUCACCGCUCCCAUAUUAUAGCCAUCUUAAUCUUGUCGAUGACAGUCGAAAAGUCUUCGUGCACAUACACCUAAGGACUAGCAACUUGGAGUUGCAGCCGUCGCCAUUGAACUCUUUAAUAUAUCUGAAGCACCUGACAUGAAAUAUCGCCACAAAAAGAGAAACCCUAACCUCACCGCCGCAAAGUAGACGACUGGAAUCUAUGUCGGAACUCCGUUGACUACGUCCAGCUGGAUAACCCUCAAGGAGGAUCAGAGCCCAGAAGACGAACUCAAAGAAGAUGGCCGCCAUCUACCCGAGUGCCGCAAGCAAGUGUGAGGACCAAAAAAAUCUAUCCUAAACUACUAACCAGAGCAUAGGUAUCAGGAUUCCCCUUCCAGCCACCAGCUAUACCUGAGUGGUAGAUAGAGGGACGGCAAACGCACGGGCUCACUGGCAGAGCCUGAAGAGGAGAGUUGUUGUUACCGCCAAGAGAUA
RNAcentral lists this ribosomal RNA (2229 nucleotides) under Triticum aestivum (bread wheat). Its description in RNAcentral is "partial small subunit ribosomal RNA". Lineage: Eukaryota; Viridiplantae; Streptophyta; Magnoliopsida; Poales; Poaceae. The record is from RNAcentral.